Molecule: long non-coding RNA, 1340 nt
Filed under: Olea europaea subsp. europaea
Lineage: Eukaryota; Viridiplantae; Streptophyta; Magnoliopsida; Lamiales; Oleaceae
Source: RNAcentral
AAAGAAAGCAUCAACGAAACUUUUGAAAGCUUGAAGGAGAAGAAUUUUUGCGAAGCCUCGUCCAUAAGUUGAGUGUCCAGUGUUCGUGGUUCUUCCAAAAAUUUACAGAAUAAUACAUAAAUGUUAUUUAUCAAUCACUUAGUGUGUGUUGUGUGUGGAAAUAUCAAAACUUUUACCUCUUUAUUUUGUUGAUUUUUUUCAUCUGAUUUUCCAGUAUCUUCUACCACUUGUUGUAUUUUGGCAAGAGCAACAGUCAUCACCCACCCCAUUCCACAAUCCCAUACCUCCAAAAUCUAAUCAAAUCCUAACCCAAAAGCUCAUCUGCACACAUGACCAUACCUCCAAUUCCGAUAGACACUGCAACAGCCAUGACCAAACUCCAUCACAAACUAUUUUAUACAAAACCCAAAACGAGCAAUUUCAUAGUCACAUAUCAUCAGGAAUCUCUCUAAUUUCUAUGUAAGGAUUUUUUUGUUUCUAUGAAUUUUGCUUUUCAAUUUCUUGUUCUCUUGAAUUAAUCAUCAUUAUUCUUAAAUUUUCAUUUGAUUAUCGUGUUUCGUUUUGAGUUUACAUAAAUGGCCAUGGUAUUAGUUUUGUUCAAAGAUAGCUUUGAGAUGAUGGUGAAUUCUAGCUUAUGAGGUAAUUUUGUAAGAACUUUACUAUUGAAAUUAAUUUCUCUUACUUAGAAAUUAUUCGGUUUUUAAGCGUAAUAGACGAGGAACGACGAGAAAUGCUUGUAAAUUUAACACUUGCACUUUCAUAUUAAAGGAAUACAGAAGGGAAAAAAACUUGGGAAUAGUGAUUAUUGGACGGGAUCAGGAGAAGGGGGUAGACACUGGAGUUUCUGCUGGUUUUGGAUGGACUCAAAGAUGGAGAUUUGUUUGGGGAUGACGUUGUGCAGAUAAGAUUCAUCUAUGGAGUAAUUAGUCCAAUACCUAUGUUUGUGAUCUUCUCCUACUUCAUUUUAAAUUUUAAAAUCUCUUUUUUCUUGCAUAUUUCAUUUGUUUUAGAAAAACGUGUCUUCUCUAGAAAUGGUGGAAAUUUUAUGGAUUUGUGCAUGUUUUGUAAGGUAGAUUGGAUGAACAUUGUUAAGAAAGAAAAAGAAAAGCUUAUAAUCUUAUUUAUGUGUGAUGACCUUUUUGUAGGAUUUAGAACAAUACGAACUCUUCCCGCUGCACGGAGUGCCAACUGGCAAUCUCCGUGUUGCACGAAGAAUACACUUCGUGUGCAUUGCACGAAGCAUUUUUCGUGCGUGCAGCACGGAGAGGCACUGCACCUCUCAGUGUUGUGCAGAGAACGGUGCUACUCCAAAUUUUUCUUUUUUCUCCUUUCUUUAAAAG